This 431-nucleotide ribosomal RNA is filed under the name uncultured bacterium. Its description in RNAcentral is "bacterial SSU rRNA". It matches the Rfam family "Bacterial small subunit ribosomal RNA", at positions 28 to 456 of the family's 1533-position model. The record is from RNAcentral.
GAUGAACGCUGGCGGCGUGCUUAACACAUGCAAGUCGAACGGACGAUGAAGAGCUUGCUUUUCAAAGUUAGUGGCGGACGGGUGAGUAACGCGUGGGUAACCUGCCUCAUACAGGGGGAUAGCAGCUGGAAACGGCUGAUAAAACCGCAUAAGCGCACAGCAUCGCAUGAUGCAGUGUGAAAAACUCCGGUGGUAUGAGAUGGACCCGCGUCUGAUUAGCUGGUUGGUGAGGUAACGGCCCACCAAGGCGACGAUCAGUAGCCGGCCUGAGAGGGUGACCGGCCACAUUGGGACUGAGACACGGCCCAAACUCCUACGGGAGGCAGCAGUGGGGAAUAUUGCACAAUGGGGGAAACCCUGAUGCAGCGACGCCGCGUGAAGGAAGAAGUAUCUCGGUAUGUAAACUUCUAUCAGCAGGGAAGAUAAUGACG